This 245-nucleotide ribosomal RNA is filed under the name uncultured bacterium. RNAcentral's name for it is "partial 16S ribosomal RNA". It matches the Rfam family "Bacterial small subunit ribosomal RNA", at positions 524 to 768 of the family's 1533-position model. The record is from RNAcentral.
UACAGAGACUGCAAGCGUUGUUCGGAUUCAUUGGGCGUAAAGGGUGCGCAGGCGGCUCGUUAAGUCGGAUGUGAAAUCUCACAGCCUAACUGUGAUAGGUCAUUCGAAACUGGCGGGCUUGAGGGCUGGAGAGGAGACUGGAAUAGUCGGUGUAGCGGUGAAAUGCGUAGAGAUCGACUAGAACACCGGUGGCGAAGGCGGGUCUCUGGACAGUUCCUAACGCUCAUGCACGAAAGCCAGGGGAG